RNAcentral lists this ribosomal RNA (382 nucleotides) under uncultured bacterium. RNAcentral's name for it is "bacterial SSU rRNA". It matches the Rfam family "Bacterial small subunit ribosomal RNA", at positions 1190 to 1533 of the family's 1533-position model. The record is from RNAcentral.
UCAUCACUGGCCCCUUACCGGCCAGGGAUACACACGUACUACAAUGGUAGGGACAGAGGGCUGCAAGCCGGCGACGGUAAGCCAAUCCCAGAAACCCUAUCUCAGUCCGGAUUGGAGUCUGCAACUCGACUCCAUGAAGUCGGAAUCGCUAGUAAUCGCAGAUCAGCAUUUGCUGCGGUGAAUACGUUCCCAGGGCCUUGUACACACCGCCCGUCACACCAUGGGAGUUUGUUGCACCAGAAGCAGGUAGCUUAACCUUCGGGAGGGCGCUUGCCACGGUGUGGCCGAUGACUGGGGUGAAGUCGUAAGCAAGGUAGCCGUAUCGGAAGGUGCGGCUGGAUCACCUCNUAAAUCUAGAUGCAUUCGGAAGUACGGCUGAUUC